RNAcentral lists this ribosomal RNA (496 nucleotides) under uncultured bacterium. RNAcentral describes it as "partial 16S ribosomal RNA". It matches the Rfam family "Bacterial small subunit ribosomal RNA", at positions 28 to 523 of the family's 1533-position model. The record is from RNAcentral.
GAUGAACGCUAGCGGCAGGCCUAAUACAUGCAAGUCGAGGGGUAGAAGAGGCUUGCUUCUUUGAGACCGGCGCACGGGUGCGUAACGCGUAUGCAACCUACCUUCAUCUGGGGGAUAGCCCGGAGAAAUCCGGAUUAAUACCGCAUAAAAUCACAGGAUGGCAUUAUCCAAUGAUCAAACAUUUAUGGGAUGGAGAUGGGCAUGCGCGCCAUUAGCUAGUUGGCGGGGUAACGGCCCACCAAGGCGACGAUGACUAGGGGAUCUGAGAGGAUGGCCCCCCACACUGGUACUGAGACACGGACCAGACUCCUGCGGGAGGCAGCAGUAAGGAAUAUUGGUCAAUGGAGGCAACUCUGAACCAGCCAUGCCGCGUGCAGGAAGACUGCCCUAUGGGUUGUAAACUGCUUUUAUUCGGGAAUAAACCUUAUUACGUGUAAUAAGCUGAAUGUACCGAAGGAAUAAGGAUCGGCUAACUCCGUGCCAGCAGCCGCGGUAA